CCCUUAGAUGUUCUGGGCCGCACGCGUGCUACACUGACCGGCGCAACAAGUUUCUUUCCUUGGCUCGAUAGGCCUGGGUAAUCUUUGAACGCCGGUCGUGAUGGGGAUAGAUCCUUGCAAUUUUUGAUCUUCAACGAGGAAUUCCUAGUAAAUGCGAGUCAUUAUCUCGCGUUGAUUACGUCCCUGCCCUUUGUACACACCGCCCGUCGCACCUACCGAUUGAAUGGUCCGGUGAAGCCUCGGGAUUGCGAAUGCUUCGUGCGGACGCGAGAACUUGGCUAAACCUUACCAUUUAGAGGAAGGUGAAGUCGUAACA
Molecule: ribosomal RNA, 316 nt
Filed under: uncultured eukaryote
Lineage: Eukaryota
Description: partial 18S ribosomal RNA
Rfam family: Eukaryotic small subunit ribosomal RNA
Source: RNAcentral